ACAUGCUCUGUAUUGGCAAUUCUGUUCAAGAAAGGAGACCCGGAGAAAAACACCGAGGCAGCACCUUCUGGAACGUGUGUUUUGAGAAGUGCAUACAAUCAAGGGCAAAAUUUUGUAAAGUCGUGUCCGACCCAUCACGACCCCAUGGACAACAUUCCUCCAGUCCAGGCCUUCCUGUCAUCUACCCUCCUCUGGAGUCCAUUUAAGCUCACGCCGACUGCUUCAGUGACUCCAUCCAGGCACCUCAUUCUCUGUUGUCCCGUUCUUUUGCCCUGCUUUUCUGUAUUGCCUCUCAAACAUGUGAAGAUGGAAAUGAAAUCUGCAGUUGCAGGCAUUUGCUGCAGGGCAGAGGCCAGUCAGCCAGAUGUGCAACCAUGUGCAAAGACAUUGCAAUUGCAGAAACCCAUAAUUAAAGGAGAAGUACAAUUAUGCAAUUUAUGUUAAUGUAUUCAAUCAUGAAACAUUGGUUUUUUUUUUUUUUUUACAGUUUAUAUGCUACCUCUGUGCCCAAUAUACUUUUUUGGGAUUUAUUUAAUCUCUUGGCACAUUUUCUGAAAAUAUAAUUAUAGAUUUGAAGAAACGCAAAAAAACAAAGUACAAUGUGGAAUUAAAAAUGAAGUUGGCUACUACUGCACACUUAAAGAAUUGUAAAGCUAAUGGGAAAAUAUUUCAAAAUAUAGCAAAGAAUUUUCAAUGGUAAACUCAUACACUUGACCUAUCCACUUUAGGCCAGCUUGACAUAAAUGUGUAUCAAUGCAUUGCAUGGUCCUCCUAGUUUGUGAGAUGUAGGCAACCUUAUACUGGCUUGCAAAACAGUUUCUAGAUUAGAGACCCUCAUUUGUAUAGGAAAAACAUUUAUGGCUAAAUCUACAAGACUUGGCUUUUCCUCCGAGGUCUAGGGGAAGACUAGAUAAUCACGCUUUAGAACUCUGAUUUGACGCCAGGUUUUUGUUGUUUUUAAUAUUUUACUCUGUUUGGUUUUAUAGUUUUAAUGGGAUUUUAUGUGUCUUUUAGUCUUUGAUUGGAAGCUGCCCAGAGAUGGUUGAAAGAUGGGAGUCUCUCUCUCUCUUGCUCUCUCUCUCUCCUCCUCCCUCCCUCCCUCUCUCUCUCUCCCCCCUCUCUCUUCCCCUCCUCUCUAAGCAAAUUAUGUGCUGGUCAUCUCACAGAUGCGUAUAUACAUACAUACAUACAUGCUAAAACUAAUGGGUAUAUCCUUAUUGUUGGCAGAGAAUGCUGCAGGUGCAAUGAUUGAGGUAGUAUCUCAGCUGGCAGUAGCUUAAAAAAAAAAGCAUUGGAUGAAACACUCAAGUAAGCCAAACAAUAUUGGUGGCUGAAGUCAGUAUUGAUAGGUCUACCUGGUGCUUGCUACUUCUUAUUCCUUUUCUGCAAAUUACAUCAUUUUGCUGUUAUAAAUCAAUCAGAUAUUAAUGGUUAAGCUUGAGCAUUUCUUCUGGCCAAACAUCAAACAACUGGGGUUACUGAUUGUGUAUUUCUUUGAACUUCAGCCCUGUGGCUGUCCACUUGAUUGGGAAAUGGUACUUGCAGUUUCAAAGGUAGAUUUUGCAGCUAUAAAGUUUACAGAAUAGAAUAGAAUAGAAUAGAAUAGAAUAGAAUAGAAUAGAAUAGAAUAGAAUAGAAUAGAAUAGAAUAGAAUAGAAUAGAAUAGAAUUGGAAG
This is a long non-coding RNA of Pantherophis guttatus, 1675 nucleotides long. RefSeq lists it as uncharacterized. Lineage: Eukaryota; Metazoa; Chordata; Lepidosauria; Squamata; Colubridae. The record is from RefSeq and is a predicted model, not a curated record.